GCUGCAGUAUAGUGGUGGAGG
This 21-nucleotide unclassified non-coding RNA is filed under the name Chlamydomonas reinhardtii. Its description in RNAcentral is "small RNA Cre_1787". The record is from RNAcentral. Lineage: Eukaryota; Viridiplantae; Chlorophyta; Chlorophyceae; Chlamydomonadales; Chlamydomonadaceae.